GCGCCAGUGGUGUAUGGUACACCCAAUCAACUCAAUGUUCUAUCGGAAGAAUGAGUAAGAUUGAGCCUGGGGUUCGACUCCCCGCUGGUGCA
Non-coding RNA from Mycena latifolia, 92 nucleotides. The record is from the annotation of a GenBank genome assembly. Lineage: Eukaryota; Fungi; Basidiomycota; Agaricomycetes; Agaricales; Mycenaceae.